GUUCUCAGUUCGGAUUGUAGGCUGCAACUCGCCUACAUGAAGUCGGAAUCGCUAGUAAUCGCGGAUCAGCAUGCCGCGGUGAAUACGUUCCCGGGCCUUGUACACACCGCCCGUCACACCAUGAGAGUUUGUAACACCCAAAGCCGGUGGGGUAACCUUUUGGAGCCAGCCAUCUAAGGUGGGACAGAUGAUUGGGGUGAAGUCGUAACAAGGUAUC
This 217-nucleotide ribosomal RNA is filed under the name uncultured bacterium. RNAcentral describes it as "partial 16S ribosomal RNA". It matches the Rfam family "Bacterial small subunit ribosomal RNA", at positions 1284 to 1500 of the family's 1533-position model. The record is from RNAcentral.